RNAcentral lists this ribosomal RNA (696 nucleotides) under Pigmentiphaga aceris. RNAcentral's name for it is "bacterial SSU rRNA". It matches the Rfam family "Bacterial small subunit ribosomal RNA", at positions 331 to 1020 of the family's 1533-position model. Lineage: Bacteria; Pseudomonadati; Pseudomonadota; Betaproteobacteria; Burkholderiales; Alcaligenaceae. The record is from RNAcentral.
CCAGACUCCUACGGGAGGCAGCAGUGGGGAAUUUUGGACAAUGGGGGAAACCCUGAUCCAGCCAUUCCGCGUGUGUGAAGAAGGCCUUCGGGUUGUAAAGCACUUUUGGCGGGAAAGAAACGGCGUCGACUAAUACUCGGCGUAACUGACGGUACCCGCAGAAUAAGCACCGGCUAACUACGUGCCAGCAGCCGCGGUAAUACGUAGGGUGCAAGCGUUAAUCGGAAUUACUGGGCGUAAAGCGUGCGCAGGCGGUUCGGAAAGAAAGAUGUGAAAUCCCAGGGCUCAACCUUGGAACUGCAUUUUUAACUACCGGACUAGAGUAUGUCAGAGGGGGGUGGAAUUCCACGUGUAGCAGUGAAAUGCGUAGAUAUGUGGAGGAACACCGAUGGCGAAGGCAGCCCCCUGGGAUAAUACUGACGCUCAUGCACGAAAGCGUGGGGAGCAAACAGGAUUAGAUACCCUGGUAGUCCACGCCCUAAACGAUGUCAACUAGCUGUCGGGACCUUCGGGUUUUGGUAGCGCAGCUAACGCGUGAAGUUGACCGCCUGGGGAGUACGGUCGCAAGAUUAAAACUCAAAGGAAUUGACGGGGACCCGCACAAGCGGUGGAUGAUGUGGAUUAAUUCGAUGCAACGCGAAAAACCUUACCUACCCUUGACAUGUCUAGAAUCCCGAAGAGAUUUGGGAGUGCUCG